AUGUCUAACGAAAUCAAAAUGAAUAAGCGUGUCGCACGCUGGAUAUCACGAGCAAGUCUGGGGAAAGACGCGCAUCUCGUGCUGUCAAGCUCAUCGGGUUACAUUACCAAUGGUGUUGGGUUCGAGGGCUCCCAAAUUUGGAAGAGGGAGCGUGGAGUAGGACCUGCAUCAUCACAAGAGAGCAAUGCCAGACUUUCUAUGGUCAAUCAUCUUCAAGUUUCUUCAUUAUGUCACACUGCAUUCUCUUAAACCAAUAUGUUGUAAUUUUGACUACAGGCAAGUGAAGUGACAUACUCGUGGUCAAGCAUUGUCAUUUGCAGGAUUUGGACCCUACAACCUCAGGAUUUGAAGUCUGAGAUCCAACAUCUUAACCACUACACCACUUUGCAUGUCAAUAUUAGCACUUCAUAAAAAUGUUAAUAUUGUAUAUAGAAAAGUACUUAGUUAAUGUAUUUCUUCUGAUAUGUUAAAUUAACCUUUCUCUCACGAAAUUUCCCAGAAGAUGGUUAUUACAGCUAGUAUUUGGUAUAAAGCAAAUCUGAUGAGUCAUGGUGUCAAAGUAAUAGCAACAGUAUAUUUUAAGAAAUAUGAAAACAAUUUAAAAAGUAAUGUUUUCCUUUUGAACUUUCUAAGUAGACCAACUGAAAACUAUUCACUGUUCAGAGCCUGCUUCAGUACUUCAGGAAAAAAUUAAUACACAGUUAUGUGAUGGCAUUCAGCAAAUUAUUGCUCUUAAUUAAACUGUGCCAUUUUAGUAAUUUGCAUUUAAAUUAUAAUUGCAGAAUGCAAAUCAGCUAGAACUCUUUUUUAGUUCAUUUCAGGCAAGUAUUAAAGUUUGCAAAGUCAGUCUGCCACUCUUUACCAUAAACACAGAAGGCUUUUAUUCUUUAUCCAAUUCAUUCUUUCAUGCUGAAUCAUUACUAAUAAAUCAGAGGUAUUCCCCAACAUGCACAGCAUGCAGGAUAGGCCUACAUUUUAAAGAAGAUACCUUCAAAUUUCAGACAAGAAAGAUACCAAUCACAACUGAAAAUAAUAAAUCAAUUUUUGUGUUGAUCCUUUGUCAAAAGCAUCUCUUGCAACAUAAAAGUAGCAUUAAAUGAAACAAGUAUUUAGUUGCUGAGUGACAUAUUGAAUAAUGGUAACUUCAGCAUUUGUUAUUAGUUCUCUACUGGGUGAAGAAAUAUAAAAAGAACAUUAGCACCUCAAUUAAGAUACUGGCAAAUGUUUGAAUUAUUACAAUGACAAGGGUUAGGGUAAAGAAAGCACAACUAAUUUUUAUGAUUUCUCUGUUAUGAGGAAUGCAAUACCUAAAAUGGGCCUGUCAGCAUCAGGCAGUUUCAAAAAUGGGUGACUCUAGUACAGAGCUUUAAAAAUUUUAAAAACAGAAUUCAAAGGAAAGUGUCAAUUUUAGUUACAAACUAUGACGCACUCUUAAUAG
Polypterus senegalus (gray bichir) is the source of this 1438-nucleotide long non-coding RNA. RefSeq lists it as uncharacterized. The record is from RefSeq and is a predicted model, not a curated record. NCBI's taxonomy places the organism in Eukaryota, Metazoa, Chordata, Cladistia, Polypteriformes, Polypteridae. The transcript has 3 exons.